This 460-nucleotide long non-coding RNA is filed under the name Homo sapiens (human). RNAcentral's name for it is "non-protein coding lnc-HMGB2-14:1". Lineage: Eukaryota; Metazoa; Chordata; Mammalia; Primates; Hominidae. The record is from RNAcentral.
AUGGCUGGGCUGCCCAGCAGGAUCGUCAAGGAAACCCAGCUUUUGCUGGCAGAACCAGUUCCUGGCCUCAAAGCAGAACCAUAUGAGAGCAACAUCCAUUAUUUUCAUGUGGUCAUUGCCAGUCCCUGGGAUUCCCACUGUGAGGGAGGGACUUUUAAACUUGGACUAUUUCUUCCAGAAGAAUACCCAAUGGCAGCCCCUAAAGUGCGUUUUAUGACCAAAAUUUGUCAUCCUAAUGUAGACAAGUUGGGGAGAAUACGUUAAGAUAUUUUGAAAGGUAAGUGGUCCCCAGCCCUGCAGAUCCGCACAGUUCUGCUACGGAUCCAGGCCUUGUUAAGUGCUCCAAAUCCAGAUGAUCCAUUAGCAAAUGAUGCAGAGGAGCAGUGGAAACACCAACGAAGCCCAAGCCAUAUAAACAGCUAGAGCAGGGACUAGGCUAUAUGCCAUGAAUAAUAUUUAA